CGGGUGCACUGAUCCGGCCGGGCCUUUCCCUCUGUGGAACCCCAUGGCCUUCACUGGCUGUGCGGGGGAAACAGGACUUUUACUGUGAAAAAAUUAGAGUGCUCCAGGCAGGCCUAUGCUCGAAUACAUUAGCAUGGAAUAAUAGAAUAGGACGCGUGGUUCUAUUUUGUUGGUUUCUAGGACCGCCGUAAUGAUUAAUAGGGACAGUCGGGGGCAUCAGUAUUCAAUUGUCAGAGGUGAAAUUCUUGGAUCUAUUGAAGACUAACUACUGCGAAAGCAUUUGCCAAGGAUGUUUUCAUUGAUAAGGAACGAAAGUUAGGGGAUCGAAGACGAUCAGAUACCGUCGUAGUCUUAACUAUAAACUAUGCCGACUAGGGAUCGGACGAUGUUAUUUCUUGACGCGUUCGGCACCUUUCGAGAAAUCAAAGUGCUUGGGCUCCAGGGGGAGUAUGGUCGCAAGGCUGAAACUUAAAGAAAUUGACGGAAGGGCACCACCAGGGGUGGAACCUGCGGCUUAAUUUGACUCAACACGGGGAAGCUCACCAGGUCCAGACACAGUGAGGAUUGACAGAUUGAGAGCUCUUUCUUGAUUCUGUGGGUGGUGGUGCAUGGCCGUUCUUAGUUGGUGGAGUGAUUUGUCUGCUUAAUUGCGAUAACGAACGAGACCUUAACCUGCUAAAUAGCCCGUACUGCUCUGGCAGUUCGCCGGCUUCUUAGAGGGACUAUCGG
Molecule: ribosomal RNA, 729 nt
Filed under: uncultured eukaryote
Lineage: Eukaryota
Description: SSU rRNA
Rfam family: Eukaryotic small subunit ribosomal RNA
Source: RNAcentral